CCUACGGGAGGCAGCAGUGGGGAAUUUUGGACAAUGGGCGCAAGCCUGAUCCAGCAAUGCCGCGUGCAGGAUGAAGGCCUUCGGGUUGUAAACUGCUUUUGUACGGAACGAAACGGUGAGCUCUAAUACAGUUUGCUAAUGACGGUACCGUAAGAAUAAGCACCGGCUAACUACGUGCCAGCAGCCGCGGUAAUACGUAGGGUGCGAGCGUUAAUCGGAAUUACUGGGCGUAAAGCGUGCGCAGGCGGUGAUGUAAGACAGAUGUGAAAUGCCCGGGCUCAACCUGGGACCUGCAUUUGUGACUGCAUCGCUAGAGUACGGUAGAGGGGGAUGGAAUUCCGCGUGUAGCAGUGAAAUGCGUAGAUAUGCGGAGGAGCACCGAUGGCGAAGGCAAUCCCCUGGACCUGUACUGACGCUCAUGCACGAAAGCGUGGGGAGCAAACAGGAUUAGAUACCCUGGUAGUCCACGCCCUAAACGAUGUCAACUGGUUGUUGGGUCUUCACUGACUCAGUAACGAAGCUAACGCGUGAAGUUGACCGCCUGGGGAAGUCGGCCGCAAGGUUGAAACCGUNAAGAGAGUUAGNGNGNGAGAGCGACGACGGCGACGACGGAGGGAGGAGG
This 622-nucleotide ribosomal RNA is filed under the name uncultured bacterium. Its description in RNAcentral is "bacterial SSU rRNA". It matches the Rfam family "Bacterial small subunit ribosomal RNA", at positions 338 to 951 of the family's 1533-position model. The record is from RNAcentral.